Molecule: ribosomal RNA, 445 nt
Filed under: uncultured bacterium
Lineage: Bacteria
Description: partial 16S ribosomal RNA
Rfam family: Bacterial small subunit ribosomal RNA
Source: RNAcentral
GUAAGGAAUAUUGGACAAUGGACGCAAGUCUGAUCCAGCCAUGCCGCGUGAAGGAUUAAGGUCCUCUGGAUUGUAAACUUCUUUUAUAAGGGACGAAAAAAGGCUUUUCUAAGUCGUCUGACGGUACCUUAUGAAUAAGCACCGGCUAACUCCGUGCCAGCAGCCGCGGUAAUACGGAGGGUGCAAGCGUUAUCCGGAUUCACUGGGUUUAAAGGGUGCGUAGGCGGGCAGGUAAGUCAGUGGUGAAAUCCUAGAGCUUAACUCUAGAACUGCAAAUGAUAGUAUCUGUCUGGAAUAUUGGGGAGGUAAGCGGAAUAUGUCAUGUAGCGGUGAAAUGCUUAGAUAUGACAUAGAACACCUAUUGCGAAGGCAGCUUACUACGCAUAUAUUGACGCUGAGGCACGAAAGCGUGGGGAUCAAACAGGAUUAGAUACCCGGGUAGUCC